AGAUUGAACGCUGGCGGCAGGCCUAACACAUGCAAGUCGAGCGGUAGAGAGGUGCUUGCAUCUCUUGAGAGCGGCGGACGGGUGAGUAAUGCCUAGGAAUCUGCCUAGUGGUGGGGGAUAACGUUCGGAAACGGACGCUACUACCGCAUACGUCCUACGGGAGAAAGCGGGGGACCUUCGGGCCUCGCGCCAUUAGAUGAGCCUAGGUCGGAUUAGCCAGUUGGUGAGGUAAUGGCUCACCAAGGCGACGAUCCGUAACUGGUCUGAGAGGAUGAUCAGUCACACUGGAACUGAGACACGGUCCAGACUCCUACGGGAGCAGCAGUGGGAAUAUUGGACAAGUGGGACGAAAGCCUGACUCCGAGCCAUGCCGCGGUGUGUGAAGAAGGUCUGGAUUGAAGUCAAUUUAGUGGAGGAGGUUGUAACUAAGUACGUUGACUAACGUUGACGUUACGAC
RNAcentral lists this ribosomal RNA (457 nucleotides) under uncultured soil bacterium. RNAcentral's name for it is "bacterial SSU rRNA". It matches the Rfam family "Bacterial small subunit ribosomal RNA", at positions 26 to 481 of the family's 1533-position model. The record is from RNAcentral.